AUGUCAUCCUCCUCCGCUGCACCCAUGUCCAGCAUCAAUGGGCAGGUCACGGAGAAGCUCAUGAGGACGAACUAUGUCCUCUAGCAUGCACAAAUCACGCCACAACUCAUCGGUGCCGGUCUCUUCGGCUAUGCCGAUGGAACCAUCCCAGAGCCAGAGAAGACCAUCAUCACCAAGAACAAGGAAGGGAAAGAUGAAUCUGUCCUGAACCCUCUACAUCAUCCUUGGGUCAGGGAGGAUCAACAGGUACUUGGGCAUCUCCUGAAUAACUUAUCUCGAGAAGUUCUUGUCCAUGUCACCUCCAUCCGCAAGGCACACGAGCUCUGGACUGCACUUGGGAACAUGUUCUCGUCGCAGUCCAGAUCGCGUGUGAAAAAUAUCCGCAUUGCCCUCUCCAACGCGCAGAAGGGGACCCAAUCUGUGGGUACCUACUUCGCCUACAUGUGCUCCCUCGCCGUCGAGCUAGAUGCUGCUGGAAAGCCGCUGGACGAGGAUGAGGUGGUCUCCUACAUCACCGGCCGGCUGGACAUGGAGUAUCAGCCGUUGGUGUCGGCCCUUGUUGCCCGCACCGAGCCGGUCACCCUCGAAGAUCUGUUCGCUCAGAUGAGCAACUUUGAUCAGAGGGCGGCAUUGUUCCACAACGCCGCUGGGUUCAAGUCUUCCGCCAACGUCGCCCCCCAUGGUGGCCAUGGUGGGUCUCGCUACGACGGCCUGCAGAGGAACAAGGGCAAGCCCGGCGGCAACAGCAACAACACCAACACUCAGCGCUCCAGUGGCGGCGGUCGUCCCUCCUACACCAACAACAGGGGCCGCCGCCGCUCCUCCAAAACCUCCCGUCCAGAUGCCAUCUGA
RNAcentral lists this ribosomal RNA (852 nucleotides) under Triticum aestivum (bread wheat). RNAcentral describes it as "partial small subunit ribosomal RNA". The stretch from base 481 to 619 matches the Rfam family "Small nucleolar RNA Z247". The record is from RNAcentral. Lineage: Eukaryota; Viridiplantae; Streptophyta; Magnoliopsida; Poales; Poaceae.